This 468-nucleotide ribosomal RNA is filed under the name uncultured bacterium. RNAcentral describes it as "partial 16S ribosomal RNA". It matches the Rfam family "Bacterial small subunit ribosomal RNA", at positions 28 to 507 of the family's 1533-position model. The record is from RNAcentral.
GACGAACGCUGGCGGCGUGCUUAACACAUGCAAGUCGAACGGACAGGCCCUGCUUUUGUGGGGUGCUCGAGUGGCGAACGGGUGAGUAACACGUGAGUAACCUGCCCUUGACUUUGGGAUAACUUCAGGAAACUGGGGCUAAUACCGGAUAGGAGCUCCUGCUGCAUGGUGUGGGUUGGAAAGUUUCGGCGGUUGGGGAUGGACUCGCGGCUUAUCAGCUUGUUGGUGGGGUAGUGGCUUACCAAGGCUUUGACGGGUAGCCGGCCUGAGAGGGUGACCGGCCACAUUGGGACUGAGAUACGGCCCAGACUCCUACGGGAGGCAGCAGUGGGGAAUAGUGCACAAUGGGCGGAAGGCUGAUGCAGCAACGCCGCGUGCGGGAUGACGGCCUUCGGGUUGUAAACCGCUUUCGCCUGUGACGAAGCGUGAGUGACGGUAAUGGGUAAAGAAGCACCGGCUAACUACGUG